GGGUGGUAAUGCCGGAUGCUCCAUCACACUGCAUGGUGUGUUGGGAAAGCCUUUGCGGCAUGGGAUGGGGUCGCGUCCUAUCAGCUUGAUGGCGGGGUAACGGCCCACCAUGGCUUCGACGGGUAGCCGGCCUGAGAGGGCGACCGGCCACAUUGGGACUGAGAUACGGCCCAGACUCCUACGGGAGGCAGCAGUGGGGAAUAUUGCACAAUGGGCGCAAGCCUGAUGCAGCGACGCCGCGUGAGGGAUGGAGGCCUUCGGGUUGUAAACCUCUUUUGUUAGGGAGCAAGGCAUUUUGUGUUGAGUGUACCUUUCGAAUAAGCACCGGCUAACUACGUGCCAGCAGCCGCGGUAAUACGUAGGGUGCAAGCGUUAUCCGGAAUUAUUGGGCGUAAAGGGCUCGUAGGCGGUUCGUCGCGUCCGGUGUGAAAGUCCAUCGCUUAACGGUGGAUCCGCGCCGGGUACGGGCGGGCUUGAGUGCGGUAGGGGAGACUGGAAUUCCCGGUGUAACGGUGGAAUGUGUAGAUAU
RNAcentral lists this ribosomal RNA (529 nucleotides) under Bifidobacterium breve. RNAcentral describes it as "bacterial SSU rRNA". It matches the Rfam family "Bacterial small subunit ribosomal RNA", at positions 158 to 697 of the family's 1533-position model. Lineage: Bacteria; Bacillati; Actinomycetota; Actinomycetes; Bifidobacteriales; Bifidobacteriaceae. The record is from RNAcentral.